Phoenix dactylifera (date palm) is the source of this 2116-nucleotide non-coding RNA. Lineage: Eukaryota; Viridiplantae; Streptophyta; Magnoliopsida; Arecales; Arecaceae. The record is from RefSeq and is a predicted model, not a curated record.
UUUUUCAGACUAAACAAAAAAACAAGAACAGGAUUUCUGUGGCUGCACAGCUAUAGAGAAAUAUAAUACCCAGAAAAUUUUACCAACAGGACAAUGAGGUAUCAUCAUUUUACAAACAGUGACGACAAAUGGCAUUGCAUGGUUGCUAUUGAUGUCUGUGUCUAUCUGCACCAAACUCUCGCAAUUCCUAGCCUAGGGUCCAGGGACAUUCCCAAACUAAGAUUUAAAUAGGACUCAACAUGUCAUCUUGUUCUUGAAAGAAUGGCACCACUGAAGCUGAAUAAAGCAAGUGCAAGUACACAAUAUUCCACAUUAUUAGGUGCCUUUUUUUUUCCUCUCUUUCUCUCUCCCUCUUUUCCCAUUUGAUAGUUCAAAUAGUAGUAGAGGUGUUAACGAGUUUAGCUCUUGGGAGUCGGGUCUUGUUUUAUAAUGGAGUCAAACUCAAACCGGCUAUGAUAGUCUCAAAGCUAUCUUUUAGUUACUAACGAGCAGUUCAUUUAAAAAAUUUAAUGAAAAGAAAAAUCUUAAGAAAUAUACUUUAUUCAAACAUUAAAACAAUAUUCAGUACUAUAUACUGUAGUUAAACAUAUAUUAUAUAUAAUCUUUGUUAAUCUUUACUAAAUAUAGUAUAAAAAUAAUUAUAAUUAUAGAUAAUAAUUAAAAUAUUUUAUAGAUCGACCAAUGCAAAGUUUGGCCAGCAUCAUUCAAGCCCUCCAUCUCCAAACUGACUCUUCCGAUCCAUCAUCAACUCAAACCUACCGAGUCCAAACCCACCUGCCCAUUUUAUAAAACAACAAGGAAAAGAAUUCCAACGCUUUUGGAUUUCUUCACCUCCCAUUCUCCUUCCCCUCCCACCUUUUUAUUACCUCGAGAACCCCACGCUGAGAAUACAAACAAACAAAAUCUCUCUCUCUCUCCGCCGCCCCAUCUUCUUCUUCUUCUCUCUCAUUGUACCGGUUGCUUUCCCCUCGCUUUCUUCUCCCUUCGAUGCCCUUUAAGGAUUCGGUGGCCGCUCCCCUCUUCCCUCCGCUCGGUCUACCGCUCAUUUCCUUGGCCGGAGAACCGCCAUCGCGCCGCCGGAAAUGGCCGACCCGCCGCCCCCCCUGCCGGACGGUAUAGCCGACGACGUCUCCGACAAGAUCUUCUCCGUUCCCGCGUACGGCGGUGGGGAUGCCGCCGUCGCCGGGAUGUUGUUUCACCUCACUGCCGGCGACGGCACUGCCUCUGUCUUCCCUCUGGGGCUGAGCCCGAGGCCGGAGGUUCCGGCGAAGGCGGGAAGAGAUUUGGUCCAGGCUCAUCCAAUUCGCCCUAAUCCACCUUAGCUUUGUAGAGAAAGAAUAGUUGAAAGAACGCGAGUGUUACAAGAAUUGGUCCCCGGCUCUCACAAGGUUCUAAGUAUGAGCAGACUCAGGGUUGCUGGUGCUGUGGCACAGGUAGUGGCUGAUAUCCCACUCUCAUCAGUUGAGGGGAAGGUCGGUGAAGGUGGAGGCAGGAAGCCGGUGUGGGAUAAGUGGUCGAACAAUGGCAUGGAAGCGCUGGUAAUGAAGCUUAUGGAAGAUGUUGGAGCAGCCAUGCAGUUCCUCCAGUCCAAGGCCCUAUGCAUUAUACCAAUCUCCAUUGCCACCACCAUCUACCAGUCUCAGCACCAAAAUGAAAUCCCUGCAGCCAAGCCGGAGCCCAAUACCCCUUCAUAGGCUGAGCUCCUCAUCAUCUGCACGUGCCCAUCAAUGACUCCUGCAUGUAGGCCACCUGCACUUUCUCGGACAGGGGCCAAAGAUCUCCAAUGUGCUGUUUUCUUGUUCUACUUCUUUUCCUUUUUUGUUUUUUUAAUUUUGGUCAAAAAGGCUAGUGAUUGGAAAAGCGUGGCAAGUGAAAGGUUGCCGAAAUCUUCAUAUGAUUCAGUGUUUUAUAGUGAAGGGCAGGCUGCCAAAAGCCAUCCCUGCUCUUAUUUUGUUUUUGUGGGGGACCGUAUUGCAGUACCCACACGCUGGCUUUCUUUUUGAGGUGGAUGGUAGGACAAAUAAAAGGGGAAUGUAAUUAAUGGAUGGGUUUCCUUUGAUAGUUUACAUCAUGUUAUUGUUAGGACUGCAAUGGAUGAUGAUGUUGAUUGAUCACA